GAUGAACGCUGGCGGCGUGCCUAAUACAUGCAAGUCGAGCGAACGGACGAGAAGCUUGCUUCUCUGAUGUUAGCGGCUGACGUGUGAGUAACACGUGUAUAACCUACCUAUAAUACUGGUAUAACUUCGUGAAACCGGAUCUAAUACCGUAUGAUAUUUUGAACCGCAUGGUUCAAAAGUGAAUUACGGUCUUUCUUUCACUUAUAGAUUGUUCCGCGCUGCAUUAGCUAGUUGGUAAGGUAACGGCUUACCAAGGCAACGAUGCAUAGCCGACCUGAGAGGGUGAGCGGCCACACUGGAACUGAGACACGGACAAGACUCCGACGGGAGGAAGAAGUAGGGAAUAUUACGCAAUGGGCGAAAGAAUGACGGAGCAAAGCCGAGUGAGUGAUGAAGGUCUUCGGAUCGUAAAACUCUGUUAUUAGGGAAGAACAUAUGUGUAAGUAAAUGUGAACAUAGUGACGGUAACUAAUCAGAAAGCCACGGCUAACUACGUG
RNAcentral lists this ribosomal RNA (497 nucleotides) under uncultured bacterium. Its description in RNAcentral is "partial 16S ribosomal RNA". It matches the Rfam family "Bacterial small subunit ribosomal RNA", at positions 28 to 507 of the family's 1533-position model. The record is from RNAcentral.